RNAcentral lists this ribosomal RNA (487 nucleotides) under uncultured bacterium. RNAcentral's name for it is "bacterial SSU rRNA". It matches the Rfam family "Bacterial small subunit ribosomal RNA", at positions 353 to 832 of the family's 1533-position model. The record is from RNAcentral.
AGUGGGGAAUUUUGGACAAUGGGCGCAAGCCUGAUCCAGCCAUUCCGCGUGAGUGAAGAAGGCCUUCGGGUUGUAAAGCUCUUUCGCAAGGGAAGAAACGAUGCAGUCGAAUAAACUGCGUUAAUGACGGUACCUUGAUAAGAAGCACCGGCUAACUACGUGCCAGCAGCCGCGGUAAUACGUAGGGUGCGAGCGUUAAUCGGAAUUACUGGGCGUAAAGCGUGCGCAGGCGGUUUUGUAAGUCAGAUGUGAAAUCCCCGGGCUCAACCUGGGAACUGCGUUUGAAACUACAAGGCUAGAGUGUAGCAGAGGGGGGUAGAAUUCCACGUGUAGCAGUGAAAUGCGUAGAGAUGUGGAGGAAUACCAAUGGCGAAGGCAGCCCCCUGGGUUAACACUGACGCUCAUGCACGAAAGCGUGGGGAGCAAACAGGAUUAGAUACCCUGGUAGUCCACGCCCUAAACGAUGUCAACUAGUUGUUGGUGGAGU